GAUGAACGCUGGCGGCGUGCCUAAUACAUGCAAGUCGAGCGAACAGACGAGGAGCUUGCUCCUCUGACGUUAGCGGCGGACGGGUGAGUAACACGUGGAUAACCUACCUAUAAGACUGGGAUAACUUCGGGAAACGGGAGCUAAUACCGGAUAAUAUAUUGAACCGCAUGGUUCAAUAGUGAAAGACGGUUUUGCUGUCACUUAUAGAUGGAUCCGCGCCGCAUUAGCUAGUUGGUAAGGUAACGGCUUACCAAGGCAAGGAUGCGUAGCCGACCUGAGAGGGGGAUCGCCCACAUGGGAACUGAGACACGGUCCAGACUCCUACGGGAGGAACCAGUAGGGAAUCUUCCGCAAUGGGCGAAAGCCUGACGGAGCACCGCCGCGUGAGUGAUGAAGGUCUCCGGAUCGUAAAAUUCUGUUAGUAUGGAAGAACAAAUGUGUAAGUAACUAUGCACGUCUUGACGGUACCUAAUCAGAAAGCCACGGCUAACUACGUG
This 497-nucleotide ribosomal RNA is filed under the name uncultured bacterium. Its description in RNAcentral is "partial 16S ribosomal RNA". It matches the Rfam family "Bacterial small subunit ribosomal RNA", at positions 28 to 507 of the family's 1533-position model. The record is from RNAcentral.